RNAcentral lists this microRNA precursor (170 nucleotides) under Triticum aestivum (bread wheat). RNAcentral describes it as "MIR2118 microRNA precursor family". It matches the Rfam family "MIR2118 microRNA precursor family". Lineage: Eukaryota; Viridiplantae; Streptophyta; Magnoliopsida; Poales; Poaceae. The record is from Rfam by way of RNAcentral.
GAGUGGAAGAGGAAGAAAAUGAGCAUCUAAGAGCAUUGGGCAUGGGAACAUGGAAGAAGGUGUCUAAACUAGUGUGUCUCUCUACAACUAGGCCAACCUUUUUCUUCGGAAUUUUCUCAAUGCCUCCCAUGCCUAUUGUUCUCAGUUACUCCUUCCUCUCCCUUGUGAUG